GAGUUUGAUCCUGGCUCAGGACGAACGCUGGCGGCGUGCCUAACACAUGCAAGUCGAACGGAGUUGAAAGGAGCUUGCUUUUUUCAACUCAGUGGCGGACGGGUGAGUAACGCGUGAGUAACCUGCCUUUCAGAGGGGGAUAACGUUCUGAAAAGAACGCUAAUACCGCAUAAGAUUGUAGUUUCGCAUGGAGCAGCAAUCAAAGGAGCAAUCCGCUGAAAGAUGGACUCGCGUCCGAUUAGAUAGUUGGCGGGGUAACGGCCCACCAAGUCGACGAUCGGUAGCCGGACUGAGAGGUUGAUCGGCCACAUUGGGACUGAGACACGGCCCAGACUCCUACGGGAGGCAGCAGUGAGGGAUAUUGGGCAAUGGGGGAAACCCUGACCCAGCAACGCCGCGUGAGGGAUGACGGUUUUCGGAUUGUAAACCUCUGUCCUCUGUGAAGAUAGUGACGGUAGCAGAGGAGGAAGCUCCGGCUAACUACGUGCCAGCAGCCGCGGUAAUAC
This 506-nucleotide ribosomal RNA is filed under the name uncultured bacterium. Its description in RNAcentral is "bacterial SSU rRNA". It matches the Rfam family "Bacterial small subunit ribosomal RNA", at positions 9 to 526 of the family's 1533-position model. The record is from RNAcentral.